UAAGAUGAUGAACAUGCACUGGGCUCUGAGCAGUUAUUUCAGCUGUUAAUUUGAUGGAAAUUGCGGCCUAGAAAGCUAUGUCUGAUAC
RNAcentral lists this small nucleolar RNA (88 nucleotides) under Cephalotus follicularis. The record is from RNAcentral. Lineage: Eukaryota; Viridiplantae; Streptophyta; Magnoliopsida; Oxalidales; Cephalotaceae.